Molecule: ribosomal RNA, 953 nt
Filed under: uncultured bacterium
Lineage: Bacteria
Description: bacterial SSU rRNA
Rfam family: Bacterial small subunit ribosomal RNA
Source: RNAcentral
GAGUUUGAUCCUGGCUCACAACGAACGCUGGCGGCAGGCCUAACACAUGCAAGUCGAGCGCGCCUUCGGGUGAGCGGCGGACGGGUUAGUAACGCGUGGGAACGUGCCCUUCUCUACGGAAUAGCCUCUGGAAACGGAGAGUAAUACCGUAUACGCCCUUUGGGGGAAAGAUUUAUCGCAGAAGGAUCGGCCCGCGUUAGAUUAUGUAGUUGGUGGGGUAAUGGCCUACCAAGCCUACGAUCUAUAUCUGGUUUUAGAGGAUGAUCAGCAACGCUGGGACUGAGACACGGCCCACACUCCUACGGGAGGCAUCAGUGGGGAAUCUUAUACAAUGGGGGCAACCCUGAUCUAGCCAUGCCGCGUGAGUGAUGAAGGCCUUAGGGUCGUAAAGCUCUUUCGCCUGUGAUGAUAAUGACAGUAGCAUGUAAAGAAACCCCGGCUAACUCCGUGCCAGCCGCCGCGGUAAUACCGAGGGGGUUAGCUUUGUUCGGAAUUACUGGGCGUAAAGCGCGCGUAGGCGGAUUAGAAAGUUGGGGGUGAAAUCCCGGGGCUCAACCUCCGAACUGCCUUCCAACUGCUAGUCUAGAGUUCGAGAGAGGUGAGUGGAAUUCCGAGUGUAGAGGUGAAAUUCGUAGAUAUUCGGAGGAACACCAGUGGCGAAGGCGGCUCACUGGCUCGAUACUGACGCUGAUGUGCGAAAGUGUGGGGAGCAAACAGGAUUAGAUACCCUGGUAGUCCACACCGUAAACGAUGAAUGCCAGUCGUCUGGUAGUAUACUAUUCUGUGACACACCUAACGGAUCAAGCAUACCUCCUGGCGUGUACGGUCGCAGAUUAAAACUCAUUCGAAUCGACGGAGCCCGCACACGCGGUGGACCAUGUGGUUUAUUCGAAGCAACCCGCACAAUCUUUACCAACCCUUGUCAUCCUGCGCUACAUCCAUAGAUGCAUGGU